RNAcentral lists this long non-coding RNA (1454 nucleotides) under Zea mays. Its description in RNAcentral is "long non-coding RNA (ZMAY_LNC003306)". The record is from RNAcentral. Lineage: Eukaryota; Viridiplantae; Streptophyta; Magnoliopsida; Poales; Poaceae.
CCCCAAUAAGGUGAGGACCCUUGUAGUUUAGGUGUUUGAUGAAAUGCCUAUUCAAGGUAAAAUUCUAGUUAACGUGUCCAUGCUGCUUUGUUUUUUUUGGCAAUUAUGUUGUGAUGUUCUAGCUUCAUGUUCGUGUAAUUAGAUGUUGUGGGUAUGAGAAGCAGGCACUACUUUUUCUUCAGACAGGUGUAUUUCCUGAGAAGUUCCACCUAAUGAGUCUUGCACCUCAGCGAAGAGUAGUGCUGCAUUCUCCACAUCUCCAACUGCAACAUUUGCCUCCUGCUGUUUGUGAUCCUUCUUAUCUCUUUUUGGUCUUUUACAGUCUUCUGCCCAAUGACCAUAGAUGCCACAGUUUCUGCAUCUCCCUUUUCUUCUGGGUGUUCCUUGUGAUGUCAAUUUGACCUUGUGAGGAGUACUGGAGCUAGCACCUUCAGAUUUGUUAGAAACUUUUGCCUUCCACUGGUUUGUCCCUCCACUAUUACUGUUCUUGUGUGAAUUGGACUGAAACAUUUGCUUGUGUUUCUCCAACCAUUCCUCUUCAGCUAGUAGCAGUCUUCCUGCUUUGUCUGUGACUUGCUCCAGUUUGUCUUCAAACCGAUCUUUAGCUGCCCGAAGCCUUCCAACUAGGUCUUCAACUGAAAGUGUCUUGACAUCACAGAACAUCUCGAUUGAGACAGCAACUUGAUUGAACUGGGGUGGCACAACUCUUAGAAACUUCUUGACAACACGAGUAUCUUCUAAGGGUUCACCAAGUGAUUUGAUAGAAAUUUUGACACUUAAUAGGAAAUAUAAUUUAAAAAGUUAGGUGGUGUACUCAUCUGUAUUUUUUACUAUUCUUUGUUUUCUUGCAUUCUAUGAGAUGCAUGCUUUGUAAGGAAUAUGAUUUGUUUCGUGACAACAAAAUUGAUAGAAUAUGUAUUUUAAAGUCUAAAUUGAUGACUAUGAUGCACCAGGUGACACUCCACUGGACAGUCAACUCCAGAUAGGGCUAGACAUGUAACGGUCUAAGAAAGAAGGUUCGAUAUUUUCUUUUUAAUUGAACUGUUGUUUUACCUUUUUCCUUGCUUGCUUUUGCUUUUGCAGAGCUGAUGAACUGCAAACAGUGCUUAUGGAGAUGGUAAAGCAAGACAGUAGGCACCAAUUAAGUGCAAAGGUAUAGAGUACUUUCCUAUUAUUUAUAGAGAAAAUAUUCAAUUAAGGUCUGUGUAUCUGCUUGGUAGGGCGCUUCCUUCUUCUAGUCUCUAUUUAUUUGUCAAAAAAACAUGUCAAAUACUUCUUCGAUGAUGUUUAUUGAGUACUCUAGUUCUUUUGCAAGGGUGAAUUGAAGGAACUUUAGACGUGCUUGUGCCCAUCCUCAGCGCAAAACACAGUGGCAACGAAAGAUUUAAGGAUGCAUGAAUAUGUACUUCGAACUUUCUUUGUAAUAAACCUGGCACUCCCAUGUUGCGGCACUU